RNAcentral lists this ribosomal RNA (434 nucleotides) under uncultured Clostridium sp. RNAcentral describes it as "partial 16S ribosomal RNA". It matches the Rfam family "Bacterial small subunit ribosomal RNA", at positions 341 to 792 of the family's 1533-position model. Lineage: Bacteria; Bacillati; Bacillota; Clostridia; Eubacteriales; Clostridiaceae. The record is from RNAcentral.
ACGGGAGGCAGCAGUGGGGAAUAUUGGACAAUGGGGGAAACCCUGAUCCAGCGACGCCGCGUGAGUGAAGAAGUAUUUCGGUAUGUAAAGCUCUAUCAGCAAGGAAGAAAAUGGCGGUACUUGACUAAGAAGCUCCGGCUAAAUACGUGCCAGCAGCCGCGGUAGUACGUAUGGAGCAAGCGUUAUCCGGAUUUACUGGGUGUAAAGGGAGCGUAGACGGCAAAGCAAGUCUGAAGUGAAAUCCCGGGGCUCAACCCCGGAACUGCUUUGGAAACUGUUUAGCUAGAGUGCAGGAGAGGUAAGCGGAAUUCCUAGUGUAGCGGUGAAAUGCGUAGAUAUUAGGAGGAACACCAGUGACGAAGGCGGCUUACUGGACUGUAACUGACGUUGAGGCUCGAAAGCGUGGGGAGCAAACAGGAUUAGAUACCCUGGUA